RNAcentral lists this transfer RNA (73 nucleotides) under Candidatus Desantisbacteria bacterium CG1_02_38_46. Its description in RNAcentral is "tRNA-Met". It matches the Rfam family "tRNA". Rfam says of the family: Transfer RNA (tRNA) molecules are approximately 80 nucleotides in length. Their secondary structure includes four short double-helical elements and three loops (D, anti-codon, and T loops). Further hydrogen bonds mediate the characteristic L-shaped molecular structure. tRNAs have two regions of fundamental functional importance: the anti-codon, which is responsible for specific mRNA codon recognition, and the 3' end, to which the tRNAs corresponding amino acid is attached (by aminoacyl-tRNA synthetases). tRNAs cope with the degeneracy of the genetic code in two manners: having more than one tRNA (with a specific anti-codon) for a particular amino acid; and 'wobble' base-pairing, i.e. permitting non-standard base-pairing at the 3rd anti-codon position. The record is from RNAcentral. RNAcentral also lists the same sequence under 2 other names. Lineage: Bacteria; Candidatus Desantisiibacteriota.
GGGCCCAUAGCUCAGCGGUAAGAGCGGCUGACUCAUAAUCAGUAGGUCCCUGGUUCAAAUCCAGGUGGGCCCA